UACGGAGGGUGCAAGCGUUAUCCGGCUUCACUGGGUUUAAAGGGUGCGUAGGCGGGCAGGUAAGUCCGUGGUGAAAUCUCUGAGCUUAACUCAGAAACUGCCAUGGAUACUAUUUGUCUUGAAUGUUGUGGAGGUAAGCGGAAUAUGUCAUGUAGCGGUGAAAUGCUUAGAUAUGACAUAGAACACCAAUUGCGAAGGCAGCUUACUACACAAAUAUUGACGCUGAGGCACGAAAGCGUGGGGAUCAAACAGG
RNAcentral lists this ribosomal RNA (253 nucleotides) under uncultured bacterium. Its description in RNAcentral is "partial 16S ribosomal RNA". It matches the Rfam family "Bacterial small subunit ribosomal RNA", at positions 524 to 776 of the family's 1533-position model. The record is from RNAcentral.